This 243-nucleotide long non-coding RNA is filed under the name Ananas comosus (pineapple). RNAcentral's name for it is "long non-coding RNA (ACOM_LNC026214)". The record is from RNAcentral. Lineage: Eukaryota; Viridiplantae; Streptophyta; Magnoliopsida; Poales; Bromeliaceae.
AAUUCAUAAGAAUAUGGCCAGAUAAUUAAGGGGGUCUUUACCGACUGUCCCUAACGCAAGUGACAAAAUUAAGGACUUAGUGGUUGGUAUCCGAAAUUCCAAGUUUGAAUUCUAGUUUAUUUACAUUAAUUUUCAGCUAAGUUUAUUUCUAAAUGAAAUAAAUAAAGCAGAUAACAUGCGACCUUUCUCUAAAAAAAAAAAAUAAAAAUUAAGGGGGUCUUCAUGCCCUUUUUUAUCCUUUUU